This 77-nucleotide ribosomal RNA is filed under the name Paenibacillus sp. OK060. Its description in RNAcentral is "16S rRNA. Bacterial SSU". It matches the Rfam family "Bacterial small subunit ribosomal RNA", at positions 1459 to 1533 of the family's 1533-position model. Lineage: Bacteria; Bacillati; Bacillota; Bacilli; Caryophanales; Paenibacillaceae. The record is from RNAcentral.
AAGGUGGGAUAGAUGAUUGGGGUGAAGUCGUAACAAGGUAGCCGUAUCGGAAGGUGCGGCUGGAUCACCUCCUUUCU